AUAUGUAAAGAAAACCACAUUUUAUUAGGGUUUCCUUUAGUUUUCUAGUUACCUGGAAUGUCAAUAACUGACAUUUCAGAAUUGUCAAAAAGAUAAUCUGUUUUAUUUCAUAAUUGUGAUAGAGGCUUUAAAUGUAGUUUCCCUCAUUUAUUGCAGAGAAACACAAUUAAGUCGAUAUCCAAAUAAAUAGGACUUAUUAUAAAACUACAU
Long non-coding RNA from Harmonia axyridis, 210 nucleotides. RefSeq lists it as uncharacterized. The record is from RefSeq and is a predicted model, not a curated record. The transcript is spliced from 2 exons. Lineage: Eukaryota; Metazoa; Arthropoda; Insecta; Coleoptera; Coccinellidae.